Molecule: ribosomal RNA, 1898 nt
Filed under: human gut metagenome
Description: bacterial LSU rRNA
Rfam family: Bacterial large subunit ribosomal RNA
Source: RNAcentral
UUAAGCUAAGAAGAGCGUAGGGAGAAUGCCUUGGCAUUAGGAGCCGAUGAAGGACGUGAUAAGCUGCGAUAAGCUGCGGGGAUCAGCAAGUAUGAAUUGAUCCGCAGAUUUCCGAAUGGAGCAAUCCGUAUGUGUAUGCACAUACAUCAUAUACUGAAUCAAAUAGGUAUAUGAGGGGAACCGCCUGAACUGAAACAUCUAAGUAGGGCGAGGAAGAGAAAUCAACCGAGAUUCUGUGAGUAGUGGCGAGCGAAAGCGGAAGAGGCUAAACCAUAGGUAGCAAUACUUAUGGGGUUUCGGACAGCAUUUAGUAUUGAUAAUUUCUAGUUGAAACGUGUGGGAAAACGUACCGAAGAGUGUGAGAGUCACGUAAGCGAAAGAGAAAGUCAGCGAGCUGUAUCCAAAGUACCGCGGGACACGUGAAACCCCGUGGGAAGAUGGGGGGACCAUCCUCCAAGCCUAAAUACUACCUAAUGACCGAUAGCGAAUAGUACUGUGAAGGAACGGUGAAAAGAACCCCGGGAGGGGAGUGAAAAAGAACCUGAAACCCUAUGCUUACAAGCACCGAGAGCACGUCAAAGUGUGAUCGGGUACCUUUUGUAGAAUGGUCCGGCGAGUUAUUGUAUGCGGCAAGGUUAAGUGCUUAAGGCACGGAGCCGAAGCGAGAGCAAGUCUGAAUAGGGCGAGUAAGUCGUAUGCAAUAGACCCGAAACCGAGUGACCUAUCCAUGUCCAGGCUGAAGUGGAGGUAAAACUCCAUGGAGGGCCGAACACACGUCCGUUGAAAAGGCCGGUGAUGAGGUGUGGAUAGCGGAGAAAUUCCAAUCGAACUCGGAUAUAGCUGGUUCUCUCCGAAAUAGCUUUAGGGCUAGCCUCGUGAAAGAUUACUGGAGGUAAAGCACUGAAUGGGCUAGGGGUCGAAAGAUUACUGAACCCUAUCAAACUAAGAAUGCCAGAUAAUUGAUUCACGGGAGUCAGACAAUGUGAGAUAAGUCUCAUUGUCAAAAGGGAAACAGCCCAGACCCACAGCUAAGGUCCCUAAACAUUGUUAAGUGGAAAAGGAUGUGGGGUUGCAUAAACAACCAGGAUGUUGGCUUAGAAGCAGCCACUCAUUAAAAGAGUGCGUAAUAGCUCACUGGUCGAGUGACCCUGCGCCGAAAAUUCAACGGGGCUAAACAAUGUACCGAAGCUUGGGAUUCUAGAUUUAUCUAGAGUGGUAGGAGAGCGUCGAAUAAGGGGUGAAGUCAGAGCGGAAGCGCUGGUGGACUUUAUUCGAGUGAGAAUGCCGGAAUGAGUAGCGAGAAUUAUGUGAGAAUCAUAAUGGCCGAAAAUCUAAGGUUUCCUGAGGAAGGUUCGUCCGCUCAGGGUAAGCCGGGGGCUAAGGCGAGGCGGAGACGCGUAGCCGAUGCACAUACGGUUGAAAUUCCGUAGCCACCGAAAGAUUUAAGUACAGGGACGCUUUAGAAGUGAUGUUGCCGGGCGAUGGUUGACCCGGUCGUAAGGGAUCGAAAAUGAGUAGAGAAGUCAUCAUGGAAAGAGACAAGAAAAGCUGUAUGGAUAUCUUAGGUGCCCGUACCGCAAACCGACACAGGUAGAUAGGAAGAAGAUUCUAAGGCCAACGGGAGAAGGGUUGUUAAGGAACUCGGCAAGUUGACCCCGUAACUUAGGGAUAAGGGGUGCUCAAGUGAUUGAGCCGCAGAGAAUAGGCCCAGGCGACUGUUUAGCAAAAACACAGGUCUCUGCUAAAUCGAAAGAUGACGUAUAGGGGCUGACACCUGCCCGGUGCCGGAAGGUUAAGAGGAGAUGUGAGAGCAUUGAAUUGAAGCCCCGGUAAACGGCGGCCGUAACUAUAACGGUCCUAAGGUAGCGAAAUUCCUUGUCAGGUAAGUUCUGACCCGC